Podarcis lilfordi (Lilford's wall lizard) is the source of this 315-nucleotide non-coding RNA. NCBI's taxonomy places the organism in Eukaryota, Metazoa, Chordata, Lepidosauria, Squamata, Lacertidae. The record is from the annotation of a GenBank genome assembly.
UGGUGCUGGAGGAGACUCUUGAGAGUCCCAUGGACUGCAAGAAGAUCAAACCUAUCCAUUCUUAAGGAAAUCAGCCCUGAGUGCUCACUGGAAGGACAGAUCCUGAAGCUGAGGCUCCAAUACUUUGGCCACCUCCUGAGAAGAGAAGACUCCCUGGAAAAGACCCUGAUGUUGGGAAAGAUGGAGGGCACAAGGAGAAGGGGACGACAGAGGACGAGAUGGCUGGAUAGUGUUCGCGAAGCUACCAGCAUGAGUUUGACCAAACUGUGGGAGGCAGUGGAAGACAGGAGUGCCUGGCGUGCUCUGGUCCAUGGG